UACAGAGGGUGCGAGCGUUAUCCGGAUUCACUGGGUUUAAAGGGUGCGUAGGUGGGCAGGUAAGUCAGUGGUGAAAUCUCCGAGCUUAACUCGGAAACUGCCGUUGAUACUAUUUGUCUUGAAUAUUGUGGAGGUAAGCGGAAUAUGUCAUGUAGCGGUGAAAUGCUUAGAUAUGACAUAGAACACCAAUUGCGAAGGCAGCUUACUACACAACGAUUGACGCUGAGGCACGAAAGCGUGGGGAUCAAACAGG
This 253-nucleotide ribosomal RNA is filed under the name uncultured bacterium. Its description in RNAcentral is "partial 16S ribosomal RNA". It matches the Rfam family "Bacterial small subunit ribosomal RNA", at positions 524 to 776 of the family's 1533-position model. The record is from RNAcentral.